GUAGGGAGCGAGCGUUGUCCGAAGUUACUGGGCGUAAAGCGCGCGUAGGCGGGUUAUUAAGUGAGAGGUGAAAUUCCGGGGCUCAACCCAGGAACUGCCUCUCAUACUGAUAGUCUUGAGUGAGGUAGAGAGAAGUGGAAUGGCUGGUGUAGCGGUGAAAUGCGUAGAUAUCAGUCGGAACACCGGUGGCGAAGGCGGCUUCUUGGGCCUUUACUGACGCUGAGGCGCGAAAGCCAGGGUAGCGAACGGGAUUAGAUACCCCGGUAGUCCUGGCCGUAAACGAUGGAUACUAGGUGUAGGGGGUAUCGACCCCCCCUGUGCCGCAGCUAACGCAUUAAGUAUCCCGCCUGGGGAGUACGGCCGCAAGGUUG
RNAcentral lists this ribosomal RNA (371 nucleotides) under uncultured bacterium. Its description in RNAcentral is "bacterial SSU rRNA". It matches the Rfam family "Bacterial small subunit ribosomal RNA", at positions 527 to 896 of the family's 1533-position model. The record is from RNAcentral.